Molecule: long non-coding RNA, 2816 nt
Organism: Acanthochromis polyacanthus (spiny chromis)
Lineage: Eukaryota; Metazoa; Chordata; Actinopteri; Pomacentridae
Exons: 2
Source: RefSeq, a predicted model, not a curated record
AAGGAAGUGUAGGGGGAAGUUAGAAAGGAAAAGAAGGGUAGACAGCCCUGCAGGAGUCACGUCUUUGUUUCAAAAGCCACUCAUUAAAGAUAAAUAUCUGUGUGCACAGACCCCCGCAUCUUUUCACUGCCUCCCUCUUUGUCCUCGACCCAGUCACAUCCAUCCUGUAUUACCCCGCCGCCCCAUAUUGUUGCCCUCUCCUCCUCCUCCACUCCUCCCCUCUCCGCAGGUCUGCCAGAAUAACAGCAGCUGAUGAUGAGCUCGACUGAACUCAGAGCAGAGCGCUGCGCAGUCGGACUGAAUUCACCUCUUUUCUUGAUUUUUUUGUUUUGGUCUUUUUUGCUUUUGUGUGUUGUUUAGGUGGCGGCUGUGUGGGUGUUUGCAUGUGUGUGCGCUCCACCAGCCCCCACAGCAGUGUGAGAGGAGGAGACAACUGUAAACGGGAGCGAUGUUGUUUCUCCCUCCCUUCUCCUUUCCUUCUCCCUUUUGCUCUCUCUCUCUCGUUCUCAUGCUCCUUCUCCUUCAUUGCCACGGCCAUCAGGACCUGUCCUCCCUCUCUCGCUAUCACUCUGCUUGGUUAUGCAAUGCACAGUCCUCCUACAGUGACUAACUGGUGUUGGAGACCUACCGUAACACUGCUGUCACUGGUGGUCGGUGUAGACCCAUACUGUCGUAGCGACUGUCUAGCGCUCCGGCAGCCUUUGCCUCUCGACAGACGCCAGCUCAAUGGGAUUUUACAGCUUUUCCUGUUCUUCUGGAAUAUCAUCUGCCAGACUAUGCUAAUUCGGGGACCUGCCCGUUUCUGCCUAGCUCUGUGGAGGCUGGGUAUCACCGAGACACUAUCAGCUCUUUCUGCAGACAUAAUCACGCACAGUGUUACAGGGGCUUCAGUGAGGGACAAGGAGCCUUUUUGAGAGCCAUAAAUUGCACUGUUUCCUAAAGGAGUAAACAAAGCAAGAGGGGGUGUGCUUACUUAAGGAUAAGCUGUGGAGAAAGGUGAAGUUGUGUGAAGGAGUUUAGGCAAAGCGGUGACAGGGAACUCAAGUGAGGCAGCAGACAUAUAGGAUGGGAGGAAUGGUAGGGAGGCAGGAGGGAGCAAAUAAGGAGAGGGGUUCUCUUCGCCCCCUCAAGAGAGGCUGCUAGUGCUUUAGCAGCAGCAAUGCAAACCUGCCGAUAAAAACACUGACUGCAAAGACCUGCGAGGACUAACUAAAUCAAAAAGGAAGUUGAGGGGGUGGGGGGCUGCUAAACUGAAAGGUGGCGCUGUAGACUUAAGGACUGAAGAAGUGAUACGAGGAGGUUUUCACUGGAAGCAUCGCUGAGCAUCGCAAAGCUGCCGUGGAACCACUGCCUUCUAUUCCUCUCUUCGUCACUUGGUCUGUCGCUCACAGUCGCCGGGACCGUGGCUACAUACCCAGCCUCUCCCUCUUUUACUCUGGGUCUCAACAUGUAGAAUGCCCUCAAAGCCAUGGGUUGUUUUUGUGAGGACCAAAAAAGCAUGCCGGAUGAUGUUGUCUUACACCUUAGAUGCCUUAGGAUAAGUGUCCCCUUGCCCAGCUAGGUGAGCAUCAGGAUCAUGGGCACCACAGUCAUCACCCUUGAUGAUGUGCGGGCACUGGAGGUCAAGGAGGAGCAGGAGGAGUCCAUCUUGGCUAUGUUAGGCAUUAUUGGCACAUUUCUGAACCUUUUCGUAAUUGUUUUUGUUUACAUAUACACAACACUGUGAAGUGCCAAAGCAGAAGAUACAGCAUUUCUAAAACCCGGUCAUCAGCUAAUACUUCUGCAAGAAAGGCUGAAGUGAGCAGCAGGGAAGAGGGUGUUAACUAGAGAGCAACACGUGUUGGGGUAAGAAGUUUGACAUGGACAUCUUCCUAAGAGAGAGGAGAAAACUGGACAGACUGGCUAAGGAUGAAGAUGAAGAAGCCAUAUGGCCAAGUCACAGCCAUGAGCCGGGGAGAUAACGAAGGGCUGGAAGACAUGGCAGCAAAAAGACUGUGCUGGAACCAGGGUGAGCAGAGCCAGAUGGACACUAGAAAGUCUCCAGCGACUGACUUCUCUGUGGCCUGAUAGGAAACAUAAACUUUCUCUUAUGAUCUGAUUUUCUGGGACUACUGGACUAAUUGGAAAGAUGGCCAACACUGAUGUUUUUCCAUUUAUUUCUACUUAAUUUAAAAACUGGUGUGACAGUAAUUGCUACUUGCCUUGGAGGGCUUUUAAGCAACAUGAUUAAAAGCAGAGCCUUUAAAAAGUAUGUGAGUAAACUGCUUUGGAGACACUGUUGGCCACCAAUCAGUCUUCAGGGCCCUUGUCAAACAGUACUCUUCCCAGCAAUGUGGCUGUGCUGUUUUGUCUUUUCCUAAGAGACCGCCAGUUUCAUAAAUGCCCUCAUCACACAACCAUUAACAUUUAUUUUAAGAAAAUACAUACACUCAACACUAUGCUGAGAAUGGAUUUCUAGAAAUGCUCCUUCAAGAAACCUUCAAAAUGUGAAAUAUUUUUAUAGAAACAGGUCUGUUACAGCGGCAAGAAACAAACGAAGUAGACCAACUUGUAAUUACAUAAUGUAGCUUGCUGACUUGUGAGAUGAAACUGGCCCUAUCCUCUACUUUCUUUUUCUGCACCUCUGUCCACUUUUUGAUGUCUGGGAGUGGGUAGGGGCUGAAAGAUUCUCUUCAUUUAUUUGGCCGUGUUAAUUUCAGGGUAGUGAUAGUGACUCUUUUGCUGUAAUAAAAAUGUUUUUAUAAACAUUUGAAUAAAAUCUAGAUGUACUGUGCAAUAGCAUACAUUUGAAAAAUAAACAGAUCAUAUGGAUAAGA